GCGGGAGUAGCUCAGUUGGCUAGAGCACCAGCCUUCCAAGCUGGGUGUCGCGAGUUCGAGUCUCGUUUCCCGCUCCA
Molecule: transfer RNA, 77 nt
Filed under: Orenia metallireducens
Lineage: Bacteria; Bacillati; Bacillota; Clostridia; Halanaerobiales; Halobacteroidaceae
Description: tRNA-Gly
Rfam family: tRNA
About the family: Transfer RNA (tRNA) molecules are approximately 80 nucleotides in length. Their secondary structure includes four short double-helical elements and three loops (D, anti-codon, and T loops).
Source: RNAcentral